CGUCCGGCCCUGUUGCAGCGGCUGCCCGCGGGCGGCUUGUGUCCGCCGCUUCCCGGGGCGCGGAAUCCUCCAUAGGGAAGUACACCGGCAGUCAGGCCGGGCCCUGCAGGGCUCCGCGCCGCUGGCGGUGAGUACGCCUCUGCCAGAGCGGCUUUUUCCCCAGCAGAAGGCCGGAGGGCCGGUAGCUCUGUUGGAAAUGUAGCCGCCGUAUUGUGUGCCGAAGUUGUGAGAAUCGCUCCCGUUGCUGUCAAUCCGUUACAACAUCAGAAGCGUCGCAGUUCAGAGGAGUGACCUACAGGCAGCCCGGCCCCGUCCCAGUGUCUGUUUUGGUGCGUAGCACUAAGCCGGGGCUCGGAGGGAAGAAAAAGCACAAGGCCCGAUUUAAGAUCCUGCUGUGACUACUGCUACUGAGGCUCUGGGACACGGGUACACAAGGACUGCAAGGUGACGACAAUCCCUUUGUGUGGCCUGGCUUGCAGACUGCUAAACCACAGCUUCUGUCGGUAGAAAUGUGGACGGUGACAAAGCAUCACACAGUGCUUGAGUUUUUUCCUCCUGUUAUGCCACCAAAAGCAGCAGCCCGCAGCCUGAGAAGACACUGUUCUUCCAACAUGCAGAAAGACAAAAGAUCUGCUUUUGUACAGUUAAUCCAACACAGAUGAAAGUGACUAAGCUGGGACUUACUCAGUACAUGUAAAACAAGGA
This is a long non-coding RNA of Falco peregrinus (peregrine falcon), 705 nucleotides long. RefSeq lists it as uncharacterized. The record is from RefSeq and is a predicted model, not a curated record. NCBI's taxonomy places the organism in Eukaryota, Metazoa, Chordata, Aves, Falconiformes, Falconidae. The transcript has 3 exons.